RNAcentral lists this ribosomal RNA (569 nucleotides) under uncultured Serratia sp. RNAcentral describes it as "bacterial SSU rRNA". It matches the Rfam family "Bacterial small subunit ribosomal RNA", at positions 1 to 586 of the family's 1533-position model. Lineage: Bacteria; Pseudomonadati; Pseudomonadota; Gammaproteobacteria; Enterobacterales; Yersiniaceae. The record is from RNAcentral.
CGCCCUUAGAGUUUGAUCAUGGCUCAGAUUGAACGCUGGCGGCAGGCUUAACACAUGCAAGUCGAGCGGUAGGAGAGCUUGCUCUCUACGAGCGGCGGACGGGUGAGUAAUGUCUGGGAAACUGCCUGAUGGAGGGGGAUAACUACUGGAAACGGUAGCUAAUACCGCAUAAUGUCGCAAGACCAAAGAGGUUCGUCUUGCCAUCAGAUGUGCCCAGAUGGGAUUAGCUAGUAGGUGGGGUAAUGGCUCACCUAGGCGACGAUCCCUAGCUGGUCUGAGAGGAUGACCAGCCACACUGGAACUGAGACACGGUCCAGACUCCUACGGGAGGCAGCAGUGGGGAAUAUUGCACAAUGGGCGCAAGCCUGAUGCAGCCAUGCCGCGUGUAUGAAGAAGGCCUUAGGGUUGUAAAGUACUUUCAGCGAGGAGGAAGGCGUUGUAUAAUUGCAACGAUUGACGUUACUCGCAGAAGAAGCACCGGCUAACUCCGUGCCAGCAGCCGCGGUAAUACGGAGGGUGCAAGCGUUAAUCGGAAUUACGGGCGUAAGCGCACGCAGGCGGUUUGUUAA